CAUGCACCAGUGGGGUCCCUCGGCCUGGUCUGUGUCCUCUCACAAUCCAGGACCCCUUGGAUGUCGAAGAGCCGGUUUUGGCCUGAUCCCUGCAGGCCAGGCCGAGGGACCCCACUGGUGCACG
RNAcentral lists this microRNA precursor (124 nucleotides) under Myotis brandtii (Brandt's bat). Its description in RNAcentral is "mir-9193 microRNA precursor family". It matches the Rfam family "mir-9193 microRNA precursor family". The record is from Rfam by way of RNAcentral. Lineage: Eukaryota; Metazoa; Chordata; Mammalia; Chiroptera; Vespertilionidae.